Gadus macrocephalus (Pacific cod) is the source of this 336-nucleotide long non-coding RNA. RefSeq lists it as uncharacterized. The record is from RefSeq and is a predicted model, not a curated record. The transcript has 3 exons. Lineage: Eukaryota; Metazoa; Chordata; Actinopteri; Gadiformes; Gadidae.
CCGCCUGGAUGGCCCAGAUGGCCCCACUAUAAAGCUGAAGUCUGGAUCGAUUAGCCAGAGUGUUCACCGUUAAACCAAGACCACAGAAUAAAGAUGAGAGCUUUGAUAUUGCUGUGUAUGGCGGGUAUUAUUUUAGCACAACCAAAAGGAAGUGGGCGUGUGGAACGCCAGGUGAGGUCAAAAGUUGACAAAUCACGUCAACCAACAGGAGACGUGUGGAAAGACUAUACUGGUUUUGAGUUCUACGGGUCAAAGAAAAAGAAUUCCACCCCAACAAUGGUUGUUCCUAAUGAUUCCAACCCAACAAUGAUUGUUCCUAAUGAUUCCAACCCAACA